GGAACGAGCCUUCGGGCAGCGUAGACAGGUGCUGCAUGGCUGUCGUCAGCUCGUGUCGUGAGAUGUUGGGUUAAGUCCCGCAACGAGCGCAACCCGUGUUGCUAGUUACAAGUGUCUAGCGAGACUGCCGGUAACAAGCCGGAGGAAGGUGCGGAUGAUGUCAAGUCAGCAUGGCCUAUAUGUCCAGGGCUACACACACGCUACAAUGGCUGGUACAAAGAGAAGCGAAAGGGAGACCUGAAGCGAAUCUCAUCAAAGCCAGUCAUAGUUCGGAUUGCAGGCUGCAACUCGCCUGCAUGAAGUCGGAGUUGCUAGUAACCGCAGGUCAGCAAUACUGCGGUGAAUACGUUCCCGGGCCUUGUACACAC
RNAcentral lists this ribosomal RNA (368 nucleotides) under uncultured bacterium. RNAcentral's name for it is "bacterial SSU rRNA". It matches the Rfam family "Bacterial small subunit ribosomal RNA", at positions 1009 to 1390 of the family's 1533-position model. The record is from RNAcentral.